Hippopotamus amphibius kiboko is the source of this 1220-nucleotide long non-coding RNA. RefSeq lists it as uncharacterized. The record is from RefSeq and is a predicted model, not a curated record. The transcript is spliced from 3 exons. NCBI's taxonomy places the organism in Eukaryota, Metazoa, Chordata, Mammalia, Artiodactyla, Hippopotamidae.
AACAUGCAGCACAGGCACCAGCUUCAGGGCCACUCCUUAAUUUUUCACAGUUUUGGCUUUUCAUUGUUUCCAGAAAUGCACAGCCCGUGCAUAGCGAAUACUCUCAAAUGCUGAUGGGAUCUUUAAGUCACACGAAACUCGUCCUGGAGCUGCACAAAUGCUGCCUGGCCGCGGUGACAGCGACAGAGCCGUCCCGACGUCUCUGUCCCCAGAGAUGCCAAUGAAAUCACGCAGGCCUGAGCCCGGCUUCGAGAAGAAGCUUGCCUCUGGCCAGGGUGGCUGAUGGGAACCAGAACUUGCCAGCCCUUUGUACCGUCCCCUGGCGUCUGGGAGCGCGGCCGAGGAACCCUCCUCGUCCUGGAAGCUUGCAGCCUCAACACCCAUUCUUUCAGCUCUCGGGGCUGCUGGGGACUUGACUGGCCAGUGGAAGCGUCCUUUCCCCUGGCCAAGAAGGGCCACAUCAGCAAAAAAGAAGCAGAAAAACCAGUCCCCCCACCGCUGGGGGAGGGACCUAGGGACCGCUAAACCUGCCCUGCCCGAUGCAGUGGUCCUUUCCUACAUGCAGCCCCUGAGCCUUUGAAAUUCAGAGAGUCCCUCUGAACUGAGACGUAUGUGUAAAAUACACUCUGGAUUUCAAAGACUUAGUACAAAAGGAAAAUAAAAAAGAUGUGGCUGCGUUUGCGGCUGACGCGAUGUUUCUACCGGACAUAGCCGUGCCAGGCUGUGGGUACUGGGGCCUGGGAACAGGCCUCACACGCAGCCUGCUUUCUCCCAGGCAGACAAUGGAAGAUGCCACCGUACCUCCCUGCCCAGUGACAACCCCUCACCCAACAGCCAGGAAUACCAGGCCCUCAUGGCCACACCUGAGCAGCCCUGUGUUCAUUUGCCUCGAGGGCUGGGUCUUGCACACUCAGAUGUCUGGGAAUCCUCUGUAAAACACGUAAGUGUGCAUAGGAACACGCACAUGCGUGCUCGAGGGCCCUGACUCUUCACUGCAGGCCUUGUCAACCCAUCCUGGCUGGCGUUCAGAGAAGCCCGAGUCACAGGGCCCCCCAGACAGCCCCCAAAGGCCCCCCUGGAGCCAGACAUUUGACCCUUUGCCCUGGGACAGACUGGACCUGCCCAGGGCCCCAUCAUGGCUUUCCUGGACCCAAGCACUUUUGUUUUCACGGCUCCUUCCUCCAUAAAUAUUAAAAAUUAUAUUCCAUGACUGCACUGAU